UAAAAAAAGGUAAGCUACUAAGAGCGAAUGGUGGAUGCCUUGACUGGUAAAGGCGAUGAAGGACGUACUAGACUGCGAUAAGCUACGGGGAGCUGUCAAGAAGCUUUGAUCCGUAGAUUUCCGAAUGGGGCAACCCAAUGUAUAGAGAUAUACAUUACCUAUAUAGGAGCGAACGAGGGGAAUUGAAACAUCUUAGUACCCUCAGGAAAAGAAAUCAAUAGAGAUUGCGUCAGUAGCGGCGAGCGAAAGCGCAAGAGGGCAAACCCAGUGCUUGCACUGGGGGUUGUAGGACUGCAAUGUGCAAGAGGUAAGUUUAGCAGAACAUUCUGGAAAGUAUAACCAUAGAGGGUGAUAGUCCCGUAUGCGAAAAACAAACCUUAGCUAGCAGUAUCCUGAGUAGGGCGGGACACGAGGAAUCCUGUCUGAAUCCGGGUCGACCACGAUCCAACCCUAAAUACUAAUACCAGAUCGAUAGUGCACAAGUACCGUGAGGGAAAGGUGAAAAGAACUGAGGUGAUCAGAGUGAAAUAGAACCUGAAACCAUUUGCUUACAAUCAUUCAGAGCCCUAUGUAGCAAUACAGGGUGAUGGACUGCCUUUUGCAUAAUGAGCCUGCGAGUUGUGGUGUCUGGCAAGGUUAAGCAAACGCGAAGCCGUAGCGAAAGCGAGUCUGAAUAGGGCGCUUAGUCAGAUGCUGCAGACCCGAAACGAAGUGAUCUAUCCAUGAGCAAGUUGAAGCUAGUGUAAGAACUAGUGGAGGACUGAACCCAUAGGCGUUGAAAAGCCCCGGGAUGACUUGUGGAUAGGGGUGAAAGGCCAAUCAAACUUCGUGAUAGCUGGUUCUCUCCGAAAUAUAUUUAGGUAUAGCGUUGUGUCGUAAUAUAAGGGGGUAGAGCACUGAAUGGGCUAGGGCAUACACCAAUGUACCAAACCCUAUCAAACUCCGAAUACCUUAUAUGUAAUCACAGCAGUCAGGCGGCGAGUGAUAAAAUCCGUCGUCAAGAGGGAAACAACCCAGACUACCAGCUAAGGUCCCUAAAUCUUACUUAAGUGGAAAACGAUGUGAAGUUACUUAAACAACCAGGAGGUUGGCUUAGAAGCAGCCAUCCUUUAAAGAAAGCGUAAUAGCUCACUGGUCUAGUGAUUUUGCGCGGAAAAUAUAACGGGGCUAAAGUAAGUACCGAAGCUGUAGACUUGCACACAACUUAGAUUAUUUAAGUUUAGAAUAUGAGAAACUAAGUUAUAUGUUUAGUUAUAUUUUUACUGAUUUUUAUAGAGUAAAGAUAGAAAUAAAACUUAGUAAAAUCAGUAAAAAUAUUCUUAGGCUAAAGUUAAGUAGUUUAAGUUGUGUGCAAGUGGUAGGAGAGCGUUCUAUUUGCGUCGAAGGUAUACCGGUAAGGAGUGCUGGAGCGAAUAGAAGUGAGCAUGCAGGCAUGAGUAGCGAUAAUUAAUGUGAGAAUCAUUAACGCCGUAAACCCAAGGUUUCCUACGCGAUGCUCGUCAUCGUAGGGUUAGUCGGGUCCUAAGUCGAGUCCGAAAGGGGUAGACGAUGGCAAAUUGGUUAAUAUUCCAAUACCAACAUUAGUGUGCGAUGGAAGGACGCUUAGGGCUAAGGGGGCUAGCGGAUGGAAGUGCUAGUCUAAGGUCGUAGGAGGUUAUACAGGCAAAUCCGUAUAACAAUACUCCGAGAACUGAAAGGCUUUUUGAAGUCUUCGGAUGGAUAGAAGAACCCCUGAUGCCGUCGAGCCAAGAAAAGUUUCUAAGUUUAGCUAAUGUUGCCCGUACCGUAAACCGACACAGGUGGGUGGGAUGAGUAUUCUAAGGCGCGUGGAAGAACUCUCUUUAAGGAACUCUGCAAAAUAGCACCGUAUCUUCGGUAUAAGGUGUGGUUAGCUUUGUAUUAGGAUUUACUCCGAAAGCAAGGAAACUUACAACAAAGAGUCCCUCCCGACUGUUUACCAAAAACACAGCACUCUGCUAACUCGUAAGAGGAUGUAUAGGGUGUGACGCCUGCCCGGUGCUCGAAGGUUAAUUGAUGGGGUUAGCAUUAGCGAAGCUCUUGAUCGAAGCCCGAGUAAACGGCGGCCGUAACUAUAACGGUCCUAAGGUAGCGAAAUUCCUUGUCGGUUAAAUACCGACCUGCAUGAAUGGCGUAACGAGAUGGGAGCUGUCUCAAAGAGGGAUCCAGUGAAAUUGUAGUGGAGGUGAAAAUUCCUCCUACCCGCGGCAAGACGGAAAGACCCCGUGGACCUUUACUACAGCUUGACACUGCUACUUGGAUAAGAAUGUGCAGGAUAGGUGGGAGGCUUUGAGUAUAUGACGCCAGUUGUAUAUGAGCCAUUGUUGAGAUACCACUCUUUCUUAUUUGGGUAGCUAACCAGCUUGAGUUAUCCUCAAGUGGGACAAUGUCUGGUGGGUAGUUUGACUGGGGCGGUCGCCUCCCAAAUAAUAACGGAGGCUUACAAAGGUUGGCUCAGAACGGUUGGAAAUCGUUCGUAGAGUAUAAAGGUAUAAGCCAGCUUAACUGCAAGACAUACAAGUCAAGCAGAGACGAAAGUCGGUCUUAGUGAUCCGGUGGUUCUGUGUGGAAGGGCCAUCGCUCAAAGGAUAAAAGGUACCCCGGGGAUAACAGGCUGAUCUCCCCCAAGAGCUCACAUCGACGGGGAGGUUUGGCACCUCGAUGUCGGCUCAUCGCAUCCUGGGGCUGGAGCAGGUCCCAAGGGUAUGGCUGUUCGCCAUUUAAAGCGGUACGCGAGCUGGGUUCAGAACGUCGUGAGACAGUUCGGUCCCUAUCUGCCGUGGGCGUAAGAAGAUUGAAGAGAUUUGACCCUAGUACGAGAGGACCGGGUUGAACAAACCACUGGUGUAGCUGUUGUUCUGCCAAGAGCAUCGCAGCGUAGCUAAGUUUGGAAAGGAUAAACGCUGAAAGCAUCUAAGCGUGAAGCCAACUCUAAGAUGAAUCUUCUCUAAGCUCUCUAGAAGACUACUAGUUUGAUAGGCUGGGUGUGUAAUGGAUGAAAGUCCUUUAGCUGACCAGUACUAAUAGAGCGUUUGGCUUAUCUUUAAUAAAGCAU
Molecule: ribosomal RNA, 3073 nt
Filed under: Campylobacter jejuni
Lineage: Bacteria; Pseudomonadati; Campylobacterota; Epsilonproteobacteria; Campylobacterales; Campylobacteraceae
Description: 23S ribosomal RNA
Rfam family: Bacterial large subunit ribosomal RNA
Source: RNAcentral